This is a long non-coding RNA of Corvus hawaiiensis (hawaiian crow), 1797 nucleotides long. RefSeq lists it as uncharacterized. NCBI's taxonomy places the organism in Eukaryota, Metazoa, Chordata, Aves, Passeriformes, Corvidae. The transcript has 5 exons. The record is from RefSeq and is a predicted model, not a curated record.
CUUGUCUUGCGGAGUUCUCCCAGCACAUGUUUUAAGCAGUCCUAAAAUCAUAAAACUUGUGGGAAAGGCAAGCAAGGAGCAAGGAUUCACCAUUUCUCACCAUACAAGAGCUAUGGCUGAAGCAGUCAAAGAAGGCUGGGGUUUUCUGCAUUACACGUAACUAAGUGCAAGUCAAUGUCAUGCGAUAAAUCCAGAAUGGUGACAAAUGUGAAAACCCAUCUGUGAUGCUGAAUGCUACCUUGACUGGAUUGUAAAUGUGGAGAAUUCUGGCUGAUUUUGCAAAUCAAGAUCAUGAACCACCCAUGGAGUGGACUGACUGGUUAUGGUCAUUCUCCUGUCCUGGCUGGAGUGUUUGAGGAGGAGUCAGUGAACAAGAAGUCAGUCUGGCCUUUCUGGCCACCUUCAUGUUAUGAGGAUUCAGCAGUCCAGGAUGCAGUGGAUGCUCCUCCACAUCUCCUAUGAAUGACUCACACCAACCAUCCAGUGUGAGAGCUGGCUCUUUCAAAAAACUGAAGAGACAGUGACAUUGGUUGGAACUGUAAAGAGUGAAAAGCAGUAGCUGAAAGCUUACUGUCAACAAACAUCUUGUUGAUCUGUGUGCAUGCAUCAUUUACAUAUAACCUCAGAGGUGUUUCCUGCUCUGUACCUUCUGGACAGUCUGAAACUAGUGGGUUAUAUAACAUCAAAGCAACAGAGUUUCAGGUAUUUUAGGGAAAUCUCUUCUGUGGAAUGGAGAGAAGACCUUCUUACAAGGGAACUUCUCUCAGUGUCCCCAAAAGUGCAGUGAAGAGAAGUGCUGUCACAAGCCCUGCUUGCUGCUGUACCCUUGCUUGCUACCCGAAGAGGAAAGGCAAUCUCCUAGCAUGCUCCAGGAUAUUCCCUUCUCCCUGAGGAUGAAAGCCUCUGAGACCAGCAGCCCUCAGAAACACAGCGGUGCCUGUCUGCACUUGAGGAGCUGUGAGUACGUUUUUACCAUAAUGGCUUGUAUGUCUUAAGGAGGGCUCUCUGCCUUUGGUGAUAGAAGAAACUGGUGGUUGGCCUUCAAAGGGAGGAGCUCUGCAGGGAAGCAGCCAGCCUGAGGAUCAGCAGAAGCACUACCGCUACUGCUGAGACCUUCUGGAGGAAGGGAUGGUGUGGUUCUCCAGCCUCCAGCCUGGGAUUUGUGCCAGUGGCACAGAAUGCUACUGUUCGGUUCUGUAAAGCCUCAAAUCUCAUUUCGGUAAAAGUUGUGUUAAUGUGUAUCCAAGCUGUGCACACACUGCUGAAAUCCACUUCUCUAAAGUGCUUUCUGGUCAUGGUUUAUAUUCUCCUUAGAAUGAAUCACAGAUGUUUUGUUGUUCGGGGUUUUUUUCCCCUUAAUCCCAUCAGUUACAUGGUUGGCAAGCAUGCUGUGGUUUGAACUAGGUCUGUUUAAUUUUUUACUUCACAAACUGGUGGUAAUACGGGAAAGGGAGGGGAAGGAAGGUUUAUAGUCCAGACACACAAAGGAAGAUCAUAUCUACUUCCUCAGUGUGUUGGACUUCUGUGUCCAGGUUUUGGUAGCGACCAGGGGCUGGCCCCAUGCUGGAUACAGCUGGCUCUAAAACAAACCCACUGCUGUCCAAAGCUGAGCCCAUCAGUGAAGCUGGUGGCACCUCAGUGGAAAUGUGUUUAAGAAAGGGUAAAACAUGCCGUGUGGCUGUUUUGAGAGAGGAAUGAGGAAAAAAAAAAAUAACAGCCCUGCAGGCAUCAAGGUCCAUGAAAAAGGAGGGGGAGGAGAUGCUCCAGGCACUGGAGCAGAGGUUACCCCAGAGCCCG